UCAGAGCUACCCAUGCUAAUUCCCUCUCUGAUGAUGUGGGGAACAUUUAGCUCAAAGUCUAUUUUUCCUAAGUGGCUUUAGCCUCCCCUCUUAUGACUCCACAGCUUAGGUCACCCAGCUACUGGACUCAUCAAGACUCCAUUGGUGGUAAACACCAGAAAAGUGAUUUUUUAAGUGGAGAAAGGAGUUGAAUGCUUUUUAAUAGAUACAUAUGUAAGAAGAAGGAAUGAAAAAAAGUGAAAAUAAAAUCAAGAAUGGUGAAAAAAGAUUUUCAGCUAUACUCUGGGUACAUUCAUUGAGCCAGAGGUAUUGAUCAAGAGAAACGGGAAGCACUACCAGACAGUAAGAGAGCCAUUAUCAAAAGUCAAACAAGAAUGAAAUUUCCUUCUGAUGUGUGAGCUGCUGAUUUUCCAAAUGCCACUCUGGCUCCAGCUUUAAAGAGGUACAGAGGUGCUGGACAGCAGCAAACAGAACUUGACAGCACAGAAUGUUCCUUUCCACUCCAGCCCCAGACAGAAUAUCAGUGUUCUACUGUGGACUUAGCUCCAGGCACAGGUUACUACGUUUCAGCAAGACUCGCCUGGAAGAACUCUGGGGAAAUUCAGUGCUCUGGGCCUGGUCCUUUGCCUUCUAUCAGUUUCCCCUGUGACUGGACAAGCCGAGCUUGCUGGACUGGCACUGUGAGUGAAGCCCAGGAGGAUCACCAGCUGCCUGGGGCCUUGGUUCACCUCUGGCUUGACGCGCUGCAUGAAUUACUUCUCAGAGCUUCAGAAUCGGAAGCUUUUGUUUUUCUUGAAAAUACUCUUUCUGGGACUCUGAGCCAUCAUGGAAGAUGACCCACUACCCUGAGACCACCAUGCUGAAGAGGCUAUGCAUAGCUGUUUGGGUCAACAGUCCCAUUGAGUCCUGCCUUCCAGCCAUCUCUGCCAAACCACAAGACAUAUGAAUAAAACCUUGGAUUCUCUAAGGGCACUUGGGUGACUCAGUCAGUUAAGUAUCCAACUCUUGAUUUCGAC
This is a long non-coding RNA of Suricata suricatta (meerkat), 1016 nucleotides long. RefSeq lists it as uncharacterized. The record is from RefSeq and is a predicted model, not a curated record. Lineage: Eukaryota; Metazoa; Chordata; Mammalia; Carnivora; Herpestidae. The transcript has 6 exons.